UCUGCCCCAAUUCAAAAUUGGAAUUUUUCCAAUUUGAGAUUUGAAUUUCAAACUGUUUGGCUCAAAUUUGUCCCUUUCCAUUUAAAAUCAGCCUUGGACCCUUAAAGAUGUUUUGUAGCAUUCAAAAUCCUGAACAAGUUUCAUUUUGACAGAAAUUUGACUUCUAUUCAAAAUUUGGAAGUAAUUUAAAAAAAACAGCGAAGGAGGAGAUAAGGCCAGCUACAGUAGCCGGCCAAUGGCCGCUCGCCUGCUUCACCUCCCGGUCACUGCCGAGUCGCCGUGCUUGAUUUGCCGCCUUUCACGCAUGCGACACGCAGCUGGGUGACGUAGCAAAGACGAGCAGGAGCUGGCAAUCGCUGACCGCCGUGUCCUUCUUCCAUUUCCCUUCCUCUGUUUCCGCAGCCAGGCAAAGCUCGUCGCGUUGCCGUGCUGUUGCUGCUGCCGCUGCCAUGCCACUGCUAUACCACAACCCAACGAUCCAUGGACACAACUUCGCAUCACUCUUGCGCUUUUGCUGAGUCUUCUUGCGCGGCCUCGCACCAUCGGAGUCAGCCUAGAGCCGCCAUCUUCUUUCUACGGUCUAGAGCACCGCCGAGCUCCACCUCCGCGUGGCCACGCUCCUGCAGACCACCUCCGACCGAGUAGAGGACACCAUAAAAUGCGCAUGAGUCCGAGAAAGCUCCCUCACCACUCCGUUGCCACAGAUACGCAUCCCACCGUCGAAACCGCAAGCUCCGACGAGCUUCCUCUGUUUUCAGCUCGCGCUAGGGACCUCGUGCAACAAUUUGAUGUUUCUCAGGGGUCUAAUUGCAGAGACUGUGACUCAGAAAAUCUCAUCCCCAACAAGUUGAGCUUGCUGCGCUUAUUGAUUUGGAAGGGUUCUUCCUCAAUUGGUGGCUCCCCAUUCAAGUCUGGUUAGGCCUCAUGGAUUUAGAAGGGUACUUUGCCUGGUGGCUCAUCAUUUAAGUCUGCUAAUGUCUCUCCUUGAUCUAGCGGUUCUACAUUUAGGUCAAAAGCUAUAGGUGCUACUCUGCAUGGCGAGGAGGAAUAGAAGGAGGAAACGGAAGGAGUAAUCUAGUGUCUACCAAGCUUUUAUAGGCUGGCAAAUUUUUAAUUUGACUAUUGUUUGCUUCCAUGUUUAAAUGUGUAUUCAUUGUGUGGCUAUUAUUGGACCGCACGUGUUGGUUACCCAGGUGUCUGAGCCAUUAUAUAAUAUUAAAUAUUUUGUAUUUAUGGAGAAUCAUUCAUAUGCAAUGAUUGCCUCUCGUGUAACUCUGGGAACAAUACAAUAGGAAAG
Sorghum bicolor (sorghum) is the source of this 1297-nucleotide RNA transcript. RefSeq lists it as uncharacterized. The record is from RefSeq and is a predicted model, not a curated record. The transcript is spliced from 2 exons. Lineage: Eukaryota; Viridiplantae; Streptophyta; Magnoliopsida; Poales; Poaceae.